GUGAAUCAUCGAAUUUUUGAACGCAAAUGGCACUCUCUUCUGAGAGUAUGCCUGUUUGAGUUUCAGCUUAAAAAAAAAUCGACAUAGUCUCUGUUUCGCGGUGACAUUUGUCGGAAUUUGUGUCAUUUUAAACAUUUGGGUUUUAAGCGGCUUAAUAUUUUAUUUACUAUUCCACGAAUUUUUUUAAGUUUUAUUUCUUAUCAGUGUAAUGUU
Molecule: unclassified non-coding RNA, 213 nt
Filed under: Glomus sp.
Lineage: Eukaryota; Fungi; Glomeromycota; Glomeromycetes; Glomerales; Glomeraceae
Description: partial contains 5.8S ribosomal RNA and internal transcribed spacer 2
Rfam family: 5.8S ribosomal RNA (bases 1-65)
Source: RNAcentral